Molecule: ribosomal RNA, 254 nt
Filed under: uncultured bacterium
Lineage: Bacteria
Description: partial 16S ribosomal RNA
Rfam family: Bacterial small subunit ribosomal RNA
Source: RNAcentral
UACGAAGGGUGCAAACGUUGCUCGGAAUUAUUGGGCGUAAAGCGCGCGUAGGCGGCUUGGCAAGUCGGAUGUGAAAGCCCACGGCUCAACCAUGGAAGUGUAUCCGAAACUGCUGAGCUUGAGUACUUAAGAGGAUCGCGGAAUUCCCGGUGUAGAGGUGAAAUUCGUAGAUAUCGGGAGGAACACCAGUGGCGAAGGCGGCGAUCUGGGAAGAUACUGACGCUGAGGUGCGAAAGCGUGGGGAGCAAACAGGG